RNAcentral lists this ribosomal RNA (252 nucleotides) under uncultured bacterium. RNAcentral describes it as "partial 16S ribosomal RNA". It matches the Rfam family "Bacterial small subunit ribosomal RNA", at positions 57 to 305 of the family's 1533-position model. The record is from RNAcentral.
GCAAGUCGAACGGUAACAGAUAGAGCUUGCUCUAUGCUGACGAGUGGCGCACGGGUGAGUAAUAUAUAGGUAACGUGCCUCUAAGAGGGGGAUAGCCACUGGAAACGGUGAUUAAUACCCCAUAUGCCUCUAAUACAUAAGUAUGCGAGGGAAACGUUUUUUCGCUUAGAGAUCGGCCUAUUUCCUAUCAGCUUGUUGGUAGUGUAAGAGACUACCAAGGCUAUGACGGGUAGCGGGUUUGAGAGGAUGAUC